AUUGAACGCUGGCGGCAUGCCUUACACAUGCAAGUCGAACGGUAACAGGUCUUCGGAUGCUGACGAGUGGCGAACGGGUGAGUAAUACAUCGGAACGUGCCCAGACGUGGGGGAUAACGAGGCGAAAGCUUUGCUAAUACCGCAUACGAUCUAAGGAUGAAAGCAGGGGACCGCAAGGCCUUGCGCGUUUGGAGCGGCCGAUGGCAGAUUAGGUAGUUGGUGGGAUAAAAGCUUACCAAGCCGACGAUCUGUAGCUGGUCUGAGAGGACGACCAGCCACACUGAGACUGAGACACGGCCCAGACUCCUACGGGAGGCAGCAGUGGGGAAUUUUGGACAAUGGGCGAAAGCCUGAUCCAGCAAUGCCGCGUGCAGGAUGAAGGCCUUCGGGUUGUAAACUGCUUUUGUACGGAACGAAAAGGCUCUGGCUAAUACCUGGGGCACAUGACGGUACCGUAAGAAUAAGCACCGGCUAACUACGUG
Molecule: ribosomal RNA, 482 nt
Filed under: uncultured bacterium
Lineage: Bacteria
Description: partial 16S ribosomal RNA
Rfam family: Bacterial small subunit ribosomal RNA
Source: RNAcentral